This 570-nucleotide ribosomal RNA is filed under the name Lactiplantibacillus plantarum. RNAcentral describes it as "bacterial SSU rRNA". It matches the Rfam family "Bacterial small subunit ribosomal RNA", at positions 60 to 599 of the family's 1533-position model. Lineage: Bacteria; Bacillati; Bacillota; Bacilli; Lactobacillales; Lactobacillaceae. The record is from RNAcentral.
CGACGAACUCUGGUAUUGAUUGGUGCUUGCAUCAUGAUUUACAUUUGAGUGAGUGGCGAACUGGUGAGUAACACGUGGGAAACCUGCCCAGAAGCGGGGGAUAACACCUGGAAACAGAUGCUAAUACCGCAUAACAACUUGGACCGCAUGGUCCGAGCUUGAAAGAUGGCUUCGGCUAUCACUUUUGGAUGGUCCCGCGGCGUAUUAGCUAGAUGGUGGGGUAACGGCUCACCAUGGCAAUGAUACGUAGCCGACCUGAGAGGGUAAUCGGCCACAUUGGGACUGAGACACGGCCCAAACUCCUACGGGAGGCAGCAGUAGGGAAUCUUCCACAAUGGACGAAAGUCUGAUGGAGCAACGCCGCGUGAGUGAAGAAGGGUUUCGGCUCGUAAAACUCUGUUGUUAAAGAAGAACAUAUCUGAGAGUAACUGUUCAGGUAUUGACGGUAUUUAACCAGAAAGCCACGGCUAACUACGUGCCAGCAGCCGCGGUAAUACGUAGGUGGCAAGCGUUGUCCGGAUUUAUUGGGCGUAAAGCGAGCGCAGGCGGUUUUUUAAGUCUGAUGUGAAA